This 2450-nucleotide ribosomal RNA is filed under the name metagenome. Its description in RNAcentral is "bacterial LSU rRNA". It matches the Rfam family "Bacterial large subunit ribosomal RNA", at positions 3 to 2465 of the family's 2925-position model. The record is from RNAcentral.
UUAAGUUAAUAAGGGCGCGUGGUGGAUGCCUUGGCACUAGGAGCCGAUGAAGGACGUGACUAACUACGAUAAGCUUUGGUGAGCGGUAAGUACGCUAUGACCCAGAGAUUUCCGAAUGGGGGAACCCAACUCGAAGAGAGUUGUCAUUAUCUGAAUACAUAGGAUAAUGACGGAACACGCUGUGAACUGAAACAUCUCAUUAGCAGCAGGAGAAGAAAGAAAAAUCGAUUCCCUAAGUAGCGGCGAGCGAAAAGGGAAGAGCCCAAACCAGAGUGCUUGCACUCUGGGGUUGUAGGACUGAUAUAUAGGAGUUACAAAAGUGUUUUAUAGCAGAACAAGCUGGGAAGCUUGGCUAGAGAGGGUGAUAGCCCCGUACGCGAAAUAAAGCACCCUCCUUUCAGGAUCCUGAGUACGGCCGGACACGUGAAAUCCGGUCGGAAUCUGCGGGGACCAUCCCGUAAGGCUAAAUACUCCCUAGUGACCGAUAGUGAACCAGUACCGUGAGGGAAAGGUGAAAAGCACCCCGGAAGGGGAGUGAAAUAGUUCCUGAAACCACGACGCCUACAAGAAGUCAGAGCCCGUUAAUGGGUGAUGGCGUGCCUUUUGUAGAAUGAACCGGCGAGUUACGGUAUCGUGCAAGGUUAAGGUGGAAAGACCGGAGCCGCAGCGAAAGCGAGUGUGAAUAGCGCGAAUAGUACGAUGCUGUAGACCCGAAACCAGGUGACCUACCCAUGGUCAGGAUGAAGGUGAGGUAAAACUUACUGGAGGUCCGAACCGGUGCAUGUUAAAAAAUGCUCGGAUGAACUGUGGGUAGCGGUGAAAUUCCAAACGAACUUGGAGAUAGCUGGUUCUCUCCGAAAUAGCUUUAGGGCUAGCCUCAUUAUUAGCAUACUGGAGGUAGAGCACUGUUAAGCCUAGGGGCCCACCUCGGGUUACCAAAGUUUGAUAAACUCCGAAUGCCAGAUAUGUAUGAAUGGGAGUCAGACGAUGAGUGAUAAGAUCCACCGUCGAAAGGGGAACAGCCCAGAUCGCCAGUUAAGGUCCCUAAAUAUAUGUUAAGUGGAAAACGAUGUGAUAGUGCAUAGACAACUAGGAUGUUGGCUUAGAAGCAGCCACCAUUUAAAGAGUGCGUAAUAGCUCACUAGUCGAGUGCCAUUGCGCGGAAAAUGUACCGGGGCUAAACAUAUUACCGAAACUGCGGGUGCACGUAAGUGCGCGAUAGGAGAGCGUUGUAAGGGCAAUGAAGGUAGACCGUGAGGACUGCUGGAGCGCUUACAAGUGAGAAUGCCGGUAUGAGUAGCGAAAGACAGGUGAGAAUCCUGUCCACCGAAUGACUAAGGUUUCCUGGGGAAGGCUCGUCCACCCAGGGUUAGUCGGGACCUAAGGCGAGGCUGAGAAGCGUAGUCGAUGGAUAACAGGUUGAGAUUCCUGUACCAGUAGUAAUGCGUUUGACCGAUGGAGGGACGCAGGAGGCUACCAGAUGCGCACUGAUGGAUAUGUGCGUGCAAGCAGUAAGUCUUGUAGAGAGUGAAAUGCUUUCUACUAUAAGGACAAGCUGUGAUGCGGAUCGAAAUAAAGUAGAGAAGUCUGAGACGUCACACUGCCGAGAAAAGCUUCUAGGAAGUAUUACACUGCCCGUACCGCAAACCGACACAGGUAGUCGAGUGGAGAACACUAAGGUGAGCGAGAGAACCCUCGUUAAGGAACUCGGCAAAAUGACCCCGUAACUUCGGGAGAAGGGGUGCUCAUGGCAACAUGAGCCGCAGUGAAUAGGCCCAGGCGACUGUUUAUCAAAAACACAGGUUUCUGCAAAAUCGUAAGAUGAAGUAUAGGGGCUGACGCCUGCCCGGUGCUGGAAGGUUAAAAGGAGUGCUUAGCUUCGGCGAAGGUACGAAUUGAAGCCCCAGUAAACGGCGGCCGUAACUAUAACGGUCCUAAGGUAGCGAAAUUCCUUGUCGGGUAAGUUCCGACCCGCACGAAAGGCGUAACGAUCUGGGCACUGUCUCAACGAGGGACUCGGUGAAAUUUAAAUACCCGUGAAGAUGCGGGUUACCCGCGACAGGACGGAAAGACCCCAUGGAGCUUUACUGUAGCUUGAUAUUGAAUGUUUGUGCUGCUUGUACAGAAUAGGUAGGAGACGUAGAAGUUUGGACGCCAGUCUAGACGGAGUCGAAAUGUGGGAUACUACCCUCGUUGUAUGAACAUUCUAACACUGGUCGCUGAUCGCGAUCGUGGACAGUGUCUGGCGGGCAGUUUGACUGGGGCGGUCGCCUCCUAAAAGGUAACGGAGGCGCUCAAAGGUUUGCUCAGAAUGGUUGGAAAUCAUUCGUAGCGUGUAAAGGCAUAAGCAAGCUUGACUGCGAGAGUUACAACUCGAGCAGGUACGAAAGUAGGACUUAGUGAUCCGGUGGUUCCGCAUGGAAGGGCCAUCGCUCAACGGAUAAAAGCUA